UGGAGGGCAAGUCUGGUGCCAGCAGCCGCGGUAAUUCCAGCUCCAAUAGCGUAUAUUAAAGUUGUUGCAGUUAAAAAGCUCGUAGUUGAAUUUCGGGGUUCAUACGUUGGUCGGGCUUUUUGGUCUGUACUUAUGUAAUGGAUUCCUACCUUCUGAAUAACCGGCAUGCCAUUAAUUUGGUGCGCCGGGGAAGCAGGACUGUUACCUUGAAAAAAUUAGAGUGCUUAAAGCAGGCUAUCGCCUGAAUACAUUAGCAUGGAAUAAUGAAAUAGGACGGCAUGGUUCUAUUUUGUUGGUUUCUAGGAUCACCGUAAUGAUUAAUAGGGAUAGUUGGGGGCAUUAGUAUUCAAUUGUCAGAGGUGAAAUUCUUGGAUUUAUUGAAGACUAACUUCUGCGAAAGCGUUUGCCAAGGAUGUUUUCAUUAAUCAAGAACGAAGGUUAGGGGAUCGAAGACGAUCAGAUACCGUCGUAGUCUUAACCAUAAACUAUGCCGACUAGGGAUCGGACGAUGUUAAUUUUUUAAUGACUCGUUCGGCGCCUUACGGGAAAC
Molecule: ribosomal RNA, 550 nt
Filed under: uncultured Glomus
Lineage: Eukaryota; Fungi; Glomeromycota; Glomeromycetes; Glomerales; Glomeraceae
Description: SSU rRNA
Rfam family: Eukaryotic small subunit ribosomal RNA
Source: RNAcentral